Molecule: ribosomal RNA, 468 nt
Filed under: uncultured bacterium
Lineage: Bacteria
Description: partial 16S ribosomal RNA
Rfam family: Bacterial small subunit ribosomal RNA
Source: RNAcentral
GACGAACGCUGGCGGCGUGCUUAACACAUGCGAGUCGAACGGAAAGGCCCUGCUUUUGUGGGGUGCUCGAGUGGCGAACGGGUGAGUAACACGUGAGUAACCUGCCCUUGACUUUGGGAUAACUUCAGGAAACUGGGGCUAAUACCGGAUAGGAGCUCCUGCUGCAUGGUGGGGGUUGGAAAGUUUCGGCGGUUGGGGAUGGACUCGCGGCUUAUCAGCUUGUUGGUGGGGUAGUGGCUUACCAAGGCUUUGACGGGUAGCCGGCCUGAGAGAGUGACCGGCCACAUUGGGACUGAGAUACGGCCCAGACUCCUACGGGAGGCAGCAGUGGGGAAUAUUGCACAAUGGGCGGAAGCCUGAUGCAGCAACGCCGCGUGCGGGAUGACGGCCUUCGGGUUGUAAACCGCUUUCGCCUGUGACGAAGCGUGAGUGACGGUAAUGGGUAAAGAAGCACCGGCUAACUACGUG